UACAGAGGGGGCAAGCGUUGUCCGGACUUACUGGGUGUAAAGCGCAUGCAGGUGGCUGUGCAAGUAUGCUGUGAAAGCCCCGUGCUUAACACGGGGAGGCCAGUAUAGACUGCACGGCUCGAGGACUGCAGAGGGUAGGGGAAUUGCUGGUGUAGUGGUGAAAUGCGUAGAGAUCCGGAGGAACACCAGAGGCGAAGGCGGCCUACUGGGUCAGUACUGACGCUGAGCCGCGAAAGCCAGGGGAGCGAACGGG
Molecule: ribosomal RNA, 253 nt
Filed under: uncultured bacterium
Lineage: Bacteria
Description: partial 16S ribosomal RNA
Rfam family: Bacterial small subunit ribosomal RNA
Source: RNAcentral